Molecule: long non-coding RNA, 134 nt
Organism: Zonotrichia leucophrys gambelii
Lineage: Eukaryota; Metazoa; Chordata; Aves; Passeriformes; Passerellidae
Exons: 2
Source: RefSeq, a predicted model, not a curated record
CAGAAGUACCAUUGGCUCACAAAACCCUCAAUAUAAUUCUGCCACAUGGCAAACACAACAGGUACACAGCGGCACACUUCUUCACUGAAGUAAAAGCCAGCGUCGCAGCGUCUCGUCCGCACUGUACACGGAGG